UACGAAGGGGGGCUAGCGUUGCUCGGAAUGACUGGGCGUAAAGGGCGCGUAGGCGGAUGGCACAGUCAGAUGUGAAAUUCCCGGGCUUAACCUGGGGGCUGCAUUUGAUACGUGUGAUCUAGAGUGAGGAAGAGGGUCGUGGAAUUCCCAGUGUAGAGGUGAAAUUCGUAGAUAUUGGGAAGAACACCGGUGGCGGAAGGCGGCGACCUGGUCCUUGACUGACGCUGAGGCGCGAAAGCGUGGGGAGCAAACAGG
Molecule: ribosomal RNA, 255 nt
Filed under: uncultured bacterium
Lineage: Bacteria
Description: partial 16S ribosomal RNA
Rfam family: Bacterial small subunit ribosomal RNA
Source: RNAcentral